GCAGUAACCCCGCGCCGCUCUGCGCACGCGCGGCUUCAGGCUGUCCGCGGAGCUCCUUGAGCCCGCGUGGGAAACCUGGGCGCUUCGCGCGGAGACGCCUUUGUGGCUGCUUCCUGGAGCAUUUUUUUCCCCUUAGAGCUGUUCGCUGUUUUCCCUCUCACGCCGCUUUUCUGAAAGACGGGUUGUGCGCUUUGGGCUUAUUCCUGGAUGGUCCCCAAAGGUCCCCGAAAGGACCAGGCCCGGACACGUGGGGCCUUGGUUUCCGGCCGGAAGUCCCGGGAGGUGUAGGGCGAGAGUUCUGGCCGUGGCGGGCCGGUUUCUGCGUGCUGCGUGCGCGGCCGCGUGGGCUAUGGGGCGGCGGUCGCGGGGCCGGCGGCUCCAGCAACAGCAGCGGCCGGAGGACGCGGAGGAUGGCGCCGAGGGUGGUGGAAAGCGCGGCGAGGCGGGCUGGGAAGGAGGCUACCCCGAGAUCGUCAAGGAGAACAAGCUGUUCGAGCACUACUACCAGGAGCUCAAGAUCGUGCCCGAGGGCGAGUGGGGCCAGUUCAUGGACGCUCUCAGGGAGCCGCUCCCGGCCACUUUAAGAAUUACUGGUUACAAAAGCCACGCAAAAGAGAUUCUCCAUUGCUUGAAGAACAAAUAUUUUAAGGAAUUGGAGGACCUGGAGGUGGACGGUCAGAAAGUUGAAGUUCCACAGCCACUGAGUUGGUAUCCUGAAGAACUUGCCUGGCACACAAAUUUAAGUCGAAAAAUCUUGAGAAAAUCGCCACAGUUGGAAAAGUUUCAUCAGUUUCUAGUUAGUGAAACAGAAUCUGGAAAUAUUAGUCGUCAGGAAGCUGUUAGCAUGAUCCCGCCACUGCUCCUCAACGUGCGGCCUCAUCACAAGAUCUUAGAUAUGUGUGCAGCACCUGGCUCAAAGACCACACAGUUAAUUGAAAUGCUACAUGCCGACAUGAAUGUCCCCUUUCCAGAGGGAUUUGUUAUUGCGAAUGAUGUGGACAACAAGCGCUGCUACCUGCUCGUCCAUCAAGCCAAGAGGCUGAGCAGCCCCUGCAUCAUGGUGGUCAACCAUGAUGCCUCCAGCAUACCCAGGCUCCAGAUAGAUGUGGACGGCAGGAAAGAGAUCCUCUUCUAUGAUCGAAUUUUAUGUGAUGUCCCUUGCAGUGGAGACGGCACUAUGAGAAAAAACAUUGAUGUUUGGAAAAAGUGGACCACCUUAAAUAGCUUGCAGCUACAUGGCUUACAGCUGCGGAUUGCAACACGCGGGGCUGAACAGCUGGCUGAAGGUGGAAGGAUGGUGUAUUCCACGUGUUCACUAAACCCUAUUGAGGAUGAAGCAGUCAUAGCAUCUUUACUGGAAAAAAGUGAAGGUGCUUUGGAGCUUGCUAAUGUGUCUAAUGAACUGCCAGGGCUGAAGUGGAUGCCUGGAAUCACACAGUGGAAGGUAAUGACGAAAGAUGGGCAGUGGUUUACAGACUGGGACGCUGUUCCUCACAGCAGACACACCCAGAUCCGACCCACCAUGUUCCCUCCGAAGGACCCAGAAAAGCUGCAGGCCAUGCACCUGGAGCGAUGCCUUAGGAUAUUACCCCAUCAUCAGAAUACUGGAGGGUUUUUUGUGGCAGUAUUGGUGAAAAAAUCUUCAAUGCCGUGGAAUAAACGUCAGCCAAAGCUUCAGGGGAAAUCUGCAGAGACCAGAGAAAGCACACAGCUGAGCCCUGCAGAUCCCACAGAAGCGAAACCCACAGAUCCCUCUAAGCUGGAAAGUCCGUCAUUCACAGGAACUGGUGACACAGAAAUAGCUCAUGCAACUGAGGAUUUAGAGAAUAAUGGCAGUAAGAAAGAUGGCGUGUGUGGUCCUCCUCCAUCAAAGAAAAUGAAGUUAUUUGGAUUUAAAGAAGACCCAUUUGUAUUUAUUCCUGAAGAUGACCCAUUAUUUCCACCUAUUGAGAAAUUUUAUGCUUUGGAUCCUUCAUUCCCAAGGAUGAAUUUGUUAACUCGGACUACAGAAGGGAAGAAAAGGCAGCUCUACAUGGUUUCUAAGGAGUUGCGGAAUGUGCUGCUGAAUAACAGCGAGAAGAUGAAGGUUAUUAACACGGGGAUCAAAGUCUGGUGUAGAAAUAACAGCGGUGAAGAGUUUGACUGUGCUUUCCGGCUGGCACAGGAGGGAAUAUAUACAUUGUAUCCAUUUAUUAACUCAAGAAUUAUUACUGUAUCAAUGGAAGAUGUUAAGAUUCUGUUGACCCAGGAAAAUCCCUUUUUUAGAAAACUCAGCAGUGAGACCUACAGUCAAGCCAAGGACCUGGCAAAGGGAAGCAUCGUGCUGAAGUAUGAACCAGAUUCUGCGUAAGUCAGUACACACCCUGCCCUUAGACGCACACGCCUUGUCAUUAGCUACAGUGUUCUCGUUGGUGAGGAAAGUGACUUGGGAAGGAAUCCAGACGCUCUGCAGUGUCCCAUCGUCUUAUGCGGAUGGCGGGGAAAGGCCUCCAUUCGAACUUUUGUGCCCAAGAAUGAACGGCUUCAUUAUCUCAGGAUGAUGGGGCUGGAGGUAUUGGGAGAAAAGAAGAAGGAAGGGGUUAUCCUCACAAAUGAGAGUGCAGCCAGCACCGGACAGCCAGACAAUGAGGUGACUGAGGGACAGAGAGCAGGAGAGCCCAACAGCCCGGACGCAGAAGAGGCCAACAGUCCAGACGUGACAGCAGGCUGUGACCCGGCGGGGGUCCACCCACCCCGGUGAGCAGGCCCAAGGCAGCGGGGGCCCACACCCCUCACACGCAAAACUGGCUUCUUCUGGUCACUGGUGUCUGAAACCAAAUCCAGAGCAGCCUGUGGCCUGUAAAGCAUAUAUUUCUAACGACUGCAGACUGGUGGGAUCAUAGGAGCCUUCUGAAUGACCAGGACUGCUUUCUUUGGAGCUGAUGAAAACGUACUCUUUUAGCGUGUUAGAAAUCACUCGUUUUAUUUUGUUUCUUUGGCCAAGCUAGGUCUAGUGUUUCUUUUGCUGGGAAUAGACUUUCAAAAGUUGUACUUCUAUCAAGAAACAAAACUGCCCUUGCAGAAAUUUCAGGUCUUUUGUUAAGCCUGUAUUGGUCUUAAGGUCCAGUAUUUUUUAAAUUAUUAUUUAUAGAAAGAAUCUAUAAAUUCUUGGGGAAGUGUGUUAUAAGCUUUAAUAAUUACAUUGAGUUGCACCUCAGUGGUGUGACAUUAACAUGCAGUGGGGUUAAUAUCUGAGGCCUCAGAUGACUUUGUGCCUUUUGGAAUAAAGGGUAAAAUAAACUCUCCUAGAGUAAGAGCUGUAUCGUGAAUUGUCAUACUAAUUAUUGAGGGGGACUUAUGUGCUUUUAUUGAAUGGAGUGCUUUACAAUUUUUAUUUUUAAAUGGGGUUGGGAUCCUUGGAAUAUUUCAAUAAAAUUGAUAAAAUAUA
This is an RNA transcript of Pan troglodytes (chimpanzee), 3427 nucleotides long. It is a transcript of the gene named NOP2/Sun RNA methyltransferase 2, with no coding region annotated. The record is from RefSeq and is a predicted model, not a curated record. Lineage: Eukaryota; Metazoa; Chordata; Mammalia; Primates; Hominidae. The transcript is spliced from 19 exons.